AGGACAUCGUAGGAAGGAGCAGCGACCGCCGGCUCAUCGCUCUCGCUCAGGUGAAUCGCUCUCACAUUAUUUAACGUUAGAAAGUUCUCGAGUUUCCCGAUCGCUCUACAUUAGCGAAUAUUAUAUCGACUAGAAUAUUCGAUAACAAAAACACAACAACCGAAAUAGCAGGUGAUACCGCUCAGUUGUGUUUACUUUUUAGCGGGCGCUUGGCGGAUACGGCAGGAGGACGAGACCGUCCCGAUGAUCCCAGCAUGAAAAACUGAAGCGCCGAUGGAGACCGCGAACCGAUCCCCGACGGCAACAGUGCCUCGAGACAAGUAACGUUUCGAGACAAGCCUACCGAAAAUUGUCGAUUCCCGAGUGCCGAAUAUCUCUAGACGAGAAGGGAAGCGACGAAGGAGGACCGGCGAGGAUACGCGGUCCUCAGAAAGCAGAUGGAUCAGCAGCCUUUCCCCGACCGUCGCUACGGACACACGAUUAUACUGCCGUGAGACAGCGAUAGUGCGAUUGAGACGGAGAGAGAGAGAGAGAGUGAGAAAGAGAGCGAAAGGGAGAGAAAGAGCGAGCGGGUGAACGAGAGAGGAAUACCGCGGAGAGUGACCCGGAGCACCGUCACCGCCGCCGCCGAAGCCAUCCAUAAGGAAAGCCGUUGCAAAUUGUUACCAGCAUAAUAAUGAGUGUACUUACGAGUGUAGUUUUGAUAACCUUAAUAUGUAUGGGUAUAAUUUAUUUAAUCCCGAAGUAUCGGAAGCGGUUACGAUUCGUUCAAAUGGCAAAUGCAUUACCAGGUCCAAAAACGCAACCGAUUAUUGGAAACGCCUACUACCUUCUCCAAAGAAGUUUUGACGAAUUCUUGAACAGUAUAUCUUUGCUCACGGAUACUUACCCGUCUCCAUUUCGAUUUUGGUUGGCCAAUAAACUAGUUAUUUGUGUAAGCGAACCAGACCAAAUAAAAACUAUUUUUCAAAGUCCUAACUGCAUAAAUAAAAGCAUAGGAUAUGAAUUGAUCAAACCGAUCCUAGGAAAUGGGCUUCUUACUGCUCCUGCACAUAUAUGGGCUCAACGUCGAAAAAUGCUAACGUCAAGCUUUAAUACAAACGUAUUACGAACAACCUGCGAUACAUUUGUGAAACAUGUUUCAGUAUUUAUGGGGAAAAUAGAAUAUAUGUUAAAUGACGAAGUAGAUUUAUUACAUCAUAUAGCAAAUUGUACGCUGGACAUGAUUUUCGAUGUUGCGUUGAAUUUCGAUUUGGGAUCACAAUUAAAGGAAACUGUGCAGUAUGCUAAUACUAUUGCGAGAGUGACAGACAUAGUCACGCACAGAUUGCGAAAUAUAUUUUUACACCCUGAUAUUAUAUUUAAUUUUACAUCUCUAAGGCGCGAACAACAGAGACUUUUAAAUAUUAUACAUUCUACUGCGGAAGAGGUAAUACAACAAAGGGAAAAUGCGAGAAAUAAUUUAGUUGAAAAUAAAAACCAAUCCGCUAAGCCUUCAAGAAAGAUAUAUCUUGAUAUACUAAUGGAAGCAUCUGACGACGGCAAGAAAUUAACUCGAAAAGAGAUUAUAGAUGAAAUCACUACGAUAAAUUGUACCGGUUUCGACACAGUCGCAAAUACAUUAAAUUUUCUGAUGUUCAUGUUAGCAAAUUUCCAAGAAGUACAACGAAAAGUAUACGAGGAGUUGCUAGAAAUUUAUGGCAUGCAAGAUCCAAAAUCCGCGCCCGUCAAAUUUGAAGAUUUGCAGCAUAUGAACUAUAUGGAGUGUGUUAUUAAGGAAACAAUGAGACUUUUCCCCGUUGGGUCUAUAUUAGGACGGCAACUUAAUGCAGAUUUACAAAUAGGAGAAUAUACUUUACCGAAAGGCGCUGAAGUUUUAAUAGCAGUAUUAGACAUGCAUCGCAAUGAAAAGUAUUGGCCCAAAGCAUUAACAUUCGAUCCAGAUAGAUUUCUUCCGGAGAACAUGGCAAAUAUUCAUCCAAAUAGUUAUAUACCGUUUAGUUACGGUCCAAGGAACUGUUUAGGUAUGAAGUAUGCAAUGGUUUCCAUGAAAGCCUUCACAGCAACAUUAUUGCGGACAUUUAUAUUAAAAGUCAAUAAGAGGGUUAAAAUAGAAGAAAUAAAAGUGAAAGUAACUACUGUGUUAACGCCCGUCAAUUCUUUGAAAGUCAGAAUUGAAAAGAGGAUAUGACAAUAUAACAUUAUCACAAUAUACUAACAGAGGAAAUGGAUUUCCUUAUUAAUAUAAUUAGUGUAUGCGGUAACUGCUGAGUGAUGAGCGUAGCAUCUUAUUAUUACGUAGAUUCUCUCCAACUGCUGCUUCAAAAACUGAUUUUCUGCCAACAUCAACAAAAGGCUCUCUUCUGUAAUUGGCUCAAUAUUUUUUUCUGCAUCUAUAGAGCUCUGAAAUGAAUUAAAGUAUACAUAUUUAUACUAUGUAUUUAUACAUGUUUAUGUGUAAAUAAAAAAAUAAACAUAUAAAUAUAGAA
Molecule: RNA transcript, 2489 nt
Organism: Odontomachus brunneus
Lineage: Eukaryota; Metazoa; Arthropoda; Insecta; Hymenoptera; Formicidae
Gene name: cytochrome P450 4C1-like
Exons: 14
Source: RefSeq, a predicted model, not a curated record